AACGACUCUCGGCAACGGAUAUCUCGGCUCACGCAUCGAUGAAGAACGUAGCAAAAUGCGAUACUUGGUGUGAAUUGCAGAAUCCCGUGAACCAUCGAGUUUUUGAACGCAAGUUGCGCCCGAAGCCUUUCGGUUGAGGGCACGUCUGCCUGGGCGUCACAC
This 162-nucleotide ribosomal RNA is filed under the name Senecio reptans. Its description in RNAcentral is "5.8S ribosomal RNA". It matches the Rfam family "5.8S ribosomal RNA". Rfam says of the family: 5.8S ribosomal RNA (5.8S rRNA) is a component of the large subunit of the eukaryotic ribosome. It is transcribed by RNA polymerase I as part of the 45S precursor that also contains 18S and 28S rRNA. Functionally, it is thought that 5.8S rRNA may be involved in ribosome translocation. Lineage: Eukaryota; Viridiplantae; Streptophyta; Magnoliopsida; Asterales; Asteraceae. The record is from RNAcentral.